This 24-nucleotide small RNA is filed under the name Arabidopsis thaliana (thale cress). RNAcentral's name for it is "Ath_wt_11146". The record is from RNAcentral. Lineage: Eukaryota; Viridiplantae; Streptophyta; Magnoliopsida; Brassicales; Brassicaceae.
UGUCGCACCACGAGGCGCUGUCUA